GACGAAGGGGGCUAGCGUUGUUCGGAAUUACUGGGCGUAACGCGAGUGUAGGUGGUUGUCCAAGUUGGAUGUGAAAGCCUUGAGCUCAACUCAAGAAAUGCAUUCAGGACUGGGCGGCUAGAGGACCGGAGAGGAUAGUGGAAUUCCCAGUGUAGUGGUGAAAUACGUAGAGAUUGGGAAGAACACCAGUGGCGAAGGCGGCUAUCUGGACGGUUUCUGACACUAAGACUCGAAAGCGUGGGGAGCAAACAGG
Molecule: ribosomal RNA, 253 nt
Filed under: uncultured bacterium
Lineage: Bacteria
Description: partial 16S ribosomal RNA
Rfam family: Bacterial small subunit ribosomal RNA
Source: RNAcentral